RNAcentral lists this ribosomal RNA (504 nucleotides) under uncultured bacterium. RNAcentral describes it as "bacterial SSU rRNA". It matches the Rfam family "Bacterial small subunit ribosomal RNA", at positions 15 to 518 of the family's 1533-position model. The record is from RNAcentral.
GAUUCUGGCUCAGGAUGAACGCUGGCGGCGUGCCUAAUACAUGCAAGUGAAACGGGUAUCUUCGGAUACCAGUCGCGGACGGGUGAGUAAUACAUAGGCAACCUGCCUUUAUGAGGGGGAUAACCGAGGGAAACUUUGGCUAAUACCGCAUGAAGACUCUAAGGCAUCUUAGAGGGAUAAAAGUUGGGAAACAACGCAUGAAGAUGGGCUUAUGGCGCAUUAGCUAGUUGGUGAGAUAGAAGCCCACCAAGGUAAUGAUGCGUAGCCGACCUGAGAGGGUGAACGGCCACAUUGGGACUGAGACACGGCCCAAACUCCUACGGGAGGCAGCAGUAGGGGAUUUUCGGCAAUGGGGGGAACCCUGACCGAGCAACGCCGCGUGAAGGAAGAAGGUUUUCGGAUUGUAAACUUCUGUUAUAAGGGAAGAACGGAUUGGAUAGGGAAUGAUCUGAUAGUGACGGUACCUUAUUAGAAAGCCACGGCUAACUACGUGCCAGCCGCGGC